ACGCGGGAAAUCUUACCGGGUCCGGACACACUGAGGAUUGACAGGCAAUAUCUAAAUCGUCCAAUUCCUAUUAUAAUACGUAUUUAGUGUUAAAUAUGCUAGUCCUUUCAUGAUUAUGUGAUAGGUGGUGCAUGGCCGUUCUUAGUUCGUGGAGUGAUCUGUCUGCUUAAUUGCGUUUCACUAAGGGCCCAUAAAUUCAAGGUAUGUUAGCUAUCGUUUCUCAAUUGACCCCUUGUCUUCGAUAAGCGCGUGUCUUUUAGAGUUUAAACAUUGCGCAUGCUGUUGGGUCCUGAAAGCAACGAACGUGACCGCAACGUCUUAUUGCCUUUAUCUUGCUAUAUUUUAAUUUAAUUAAAAAUAGCUAACAGAGGCUAAUUUAAAAUUAGACGGACCGCUGUACUUUUCUUAAACCAGAGGAAGGUUGCGGCAAUAACAGGUCUGUGAUGCCCUUAGAUGUUCCGGGCUGCACACGUGCUACAAUGAUCAGUACAGUGAGCAUCUCAAUAUUAUACACCGUAUUAAGCGCUUAGUUGCGAUUAUUGGCUCAUUAUUGGGUCUUUUAAUUGUAUUUCUAAUGCGCGCGG
This 584-nucleotide ribosomal RNA is filed under the name Neogloboquadrina dutertrei. Its description in RNAcentral is "bacterial SSU rRNA". It matches the Rfam family "Eukaryotic small subunit ribosomal RNA", at positions 1203 to 1608 of the family's 1831-position model. Lineage: Eukaryota; Foraminifera; Rotaliida; Globorotaliidae. The record is from RNAcentral.